AUUUAUAAAUUUUGAGCUUUUGUAAAACUGGGUCGUAUUUUUUGAUUUUGCAGAUUCGAUCCGAAUUUUCAGCAAACUGAUCAAAAUAUUUUUAUUACUUUUUCUCUUUCCUCUUUCUCUUUUUUUUUUUUUUCCUCUCGUUCAUUUUUUUUUCUCUCACCGAAGAAGGCUGCGGAAGCAAAGACGAAACGGAAACGGCCCGCCUCACAUCUCACUCUCAUGCUUUCGCACUCACUCGCGCACCCCCCGCCUUCGACCCUGUCGAGGCUGCGCUGCGACUCUUUUUUUUUGUUAAGAAUUUUCUAAGUUGACGAAUUUCGUGAAGCCGAAUGGAGUCUUUUAGAGUUAAAAACGAAGUUUUGGCGAGAAGAUUCAAUUUGGAGAUCAAAGACUC
Molecule: long non-coding RNA, 394 nt
Filed under: Ananas comosus (pineapple)
Lineage: Eukaryota; Viridiplantae; Streptophyta; Magnoliopsida; Poales; Bromeliaceae
Description: long non-coding RNA (ACOM_LNC014527)
Source: RNAcentral